GAUGAACGCUGGCGGCGUGCCUAACACAUGCAAGUCGAACGGAAAGGCCCUGCUUUUGCGUGGCUCUCGAGUGGCGCACGGGUGUGUAACACGUGAGUAUCCUUCCCUUUACUUUCUGAUAACUUUAGGAAACUGCGGCUAAUACCGCAUAGGAGCUCCUGCUGCUUGGUGUGGGUUGGAAAGUUUCGGCGGUUGUGGAUGUACUCGCGGGUUAUGCGCUUGUUGGUGGGGUAGUUGCUUACGAAGCCUUUGACGGGUAGGCGGCCUGGGAGGGCUACCGGGCACAAGGGGACUGAGAGAGGGAGCAGAAGGGAACGGGAGGCAACGGGGGAAAAUAUUGCACAAUGAGGGGAAGCGUGAUGCAGAAACGCCGGGAGCGGGAUGACGGCCUACGGGGUGUGAACCGCUGUAGCCUGUGACGAAGCGUGAGUGACGGUAAUGAGUAAAGAAGCACCGGCUAACUACGUG
This 468-nucleotide ribosomal RNA is filed under the name uncultured bacterium. Its description in RNAcentral is "partial 16S ribosomal RNA". It matches the Rfam family "Bacterial small subunit ribosomal RNA", at positions 28 to 507 of the family's 1533-position model. The record is from RNAcentral.